UGGGGAAUAUUGCACAAUGGGCGCAAGCCUGAUGCAGCCAUGCCGCGUGUGUGAAGAAGGCCUUCGGGUUGUAAAGCACUCUCAGCGAGGAGGAAGGUGGUGAGCUUAAUACGCUCAUCAAUUGACGUUACUCGCAGAAGAAGCACCGGCUAACUCCGUGCCAGCAGCCGCGGUAAUACGGAGGGUGCAAGCGUUAAUCGGAAUUACUGGGCGUAAAGCGCACGCAGGCGGUUUGUUAAGUCAGAUGUGAAAUCCCCGGGCUCAACCUGGGAACUGCAUUUGAAACUGGCAAGCUAGAGUCUCGUAGAGGGGGGUAGAAUUCCAGGUGUAGCGGUGAAAUGCGUAGAGAUCUGGAGGAAUACCGGUGGCGAAGGCGGCCCCCUGGACGAAGACUGACGCUCAGGUGCGAAAGCGUGGGGCAGCAAACAGGAUUAGAUACCCUGGUAGUCCACGCUGUAAACGAUGUCGAUUUUGGAGGUUGUGCCCUUGAGGCGUGGCUUCCGGAGCUAACGCGUUAAAUCGACCGCCUGGGGAGUACGGCCGCAAGGUUAAAACUCAAAGGAAUUGACGGGGUC
Molecule: ribosomal RNA, 575 nt
Filed under: uncultured bacterium
Lineage: Bacteria
Description: partial 16S ribosomal RNA
Rfam family: Bacterial small subunit ribosomal RNA
Source: RNAcentral